RNAcentral lists this unclassified non-coding RNA (157 nucleotides) under uncultured fungus. RNAcentral describes it as "sequence contains ITS1". Lineage: Eukaryota; Fungi. The record is from RNAcentral.
CAGAAAUUGUAAACGGGGGAAACCCCUUUACUUUUCAUCCACCCCUAUGUGAACCAUUGCGUGGGUUAGUACGGGUUUGAAACACCCGGAAGGCCUGCGUCUUUUCUAUAUACCCCUAGAAAGUCUCAGAAUGUAAUCUGCGUCUAACGCAUAAAUA